RNAcentral lists this ribosomal RNA (679 nucleotides) under uncultured bacterium. RNAcentral describes it as "bacterial SSU rRNA". It matches the Rfam family "Bacterial small subunit ribosomal RNA", at positions 812 to 1504 of the family's 1533-position model. The record is from RNAcentral.
GAUGCCGCUGUUUGCGAUAUACUGUGAGCGUCAAGAGAAAUCGUAAGCAUCCCACUGGGGAGUACGCCGGCAACGGUGAAACUCAAAGGGAAUUGACGGGGGCCCGCACAAGCGGAGGAACAUGUGGUUUAAUUCGAUGAUACGCGAGGAACCUUUACCCGGGGCUUGAACUGCCAGCGAACGAUUCAGAGAUGAUGAGGUCCUUCGGGACGCUGGUGGAGGUGCUGCAUGGUUGUCGUCAGCUCGUGCCGUGAGGUGUCGGCUUAAGUGCCAUAACGAGCGCAACCCUUUUCUUUAGUUGCCAUCAGGUAAUGCUGGGCACUCUGGAGAUACUGCCACCGUAAGGUGUGAGGAAGGUGGGGAUGACGUCAAAUCAGCACGGCCCUUACGUCCGGGGCUACACACGUGUUACAAUGGGGGGUACAGAGAGUCGGAUAUACGCAAGUAUGUUCUAAUCCUUAAAGCCUUCCUCAGUUCGGAUUGGGGUCUGCAACCCGACCCCAUGAAGCUGGAUUCGCUAGUAAUCGCGCAUCAGCCAUGGCGCGGUGAAUACGUUCCCGGGCCUUGUACACACCGCCCGUCAAGCCAUGAAAGCCGGGGGCGCUUGAAGUCCGUGACCGCAAGGAUCGGCCUAGAGCGAAACUGGUAAUUGGGGCUAAGUCGUAACAAGGUAACCGUA